RNAcentral lists this small nuclear RNA (175 nucleotides) under Rhinolophus ferrumequinum (greater horseshoe bat). RNAcentral's name for it is "U2 spliceosomal RNA (ENSRFEG00010011533.1)". It matches the Rfam family "U2 spliceosomal RNA". Rfam says of the family: U2 is a small nuclear RNA (snRNA) component of the spliceosome (involved in pre-mRNA splicing). Complementary binding between U2 snRNA (in an area lying towards the 5' end but 3' to hairpin I) and the branchpoint sequence (BPS) of the intron results the bulging out of an unpaired adenosine, on the BPS, which initiates a nucleophilic attack at the intronic 5' splice site, thus starting the first of two transesterification reactions that mediate splicing. The record is from Rfam by way of RNAcentral. Lineage: Eukaryota; Metazoa; Chordata; Mammalia; Chiroptera; Rhinolophidae.
AUCAAUCCUUAACCUUUUGGCUAAGAUCAUAUAAUAUCUGUUCUUAUCAGUAUAAUAUCUGAUGUGUCCUCCCCCCGAGGACAAUGUACUACAUUGAUUUUGGAACAGGAACUUGGUCUGUCUGUUCCACGCACUGACCUGACAUUGCAGUAUUGCUAGGAAUGGUGCACCCCUU